GCCGCCAUCGCAUAGUGGUAUUGCACUAGAUUGCUAAUCUAGACCCUUUGGGUUCCAGGGUUCGAUUCCCUGUGGCGGCG
RNAcentral lists this transfer RNA (80 nucleotides) under Candidatus Pacearchaeota archaeon. Its description in RNAcentral is "tRNA-Ser". It matches the Rfam family "tRNA". From Rfam's summary of the family: Transfer RNA (tRNA) molecules are approximately 80 nucleotides in length. Their secondary structure includes four short double-helical elements and three loops (D, anti-codon, and T loops). The record is from RNAcentral. Lineage: Archaea; Nanobdellati.